RNAcentral lists this ribosomal RNA (530 nucleotides) under uncultured bacterium. RNAcentral's name for it is "partial 16S ribosomal RNA". It matches the Rfam family "Bacterial small subunit ribosomal RNA", at positions 28 to 523 of the family's 1533-position model. The record is from RNAcentral.
GACGAACGCUGGCGGCGUGCCUAAUACAUGCAAGUCGAACGAACUCUGGUAAUGAUUGGUGCUUGCAUCAUGAAUUACAUUUGAGUGAGUGGCGAACUGGUGAGUAACACGUGGGAAACCUGCCCAGAAGCGGGGGAUAACACCUGGAAACAGAUGCUAAUACCGCAUAACAACUUGGACCGCAUGGUCCGAGUUUGAAAGAUGGCUUCGGCUGUCACUUUUGGAUGGUCCCGCGGCGUAUUAGCUAGAUGGUGAGGUAACGGCUCACCAUGGAAAUGGUACGUAGCCGACCGGAGAGGGUAAUCGGCCACAUUGGGACUGAGACACGGCCCAAACUCCUACGGGAGGCAGCAGUAGGGAAUCUUCCACAAUGGACGAAAGUCUGAUGGAGCAACGCCGCGUGAGUGAAGAAGGGUUUCGGCUCGUAAAACUCUGUUGUUAAAGAAGAACAUAUCUGAGAGUAACUGUUCAGGUAUUGACGGUAUUUAACCAGAAAGCCACGGCUAACUACGUGCCAGCAGCCGCGGUAA